UUUGUUUUUGUUUUUGUUUUUUUGCCAGUAAGGAGGAACUUCUAAUGUCUUAUGACAUAAAACUAGUUUUCUUGUAGAAAUUCUGAAGCUAGCUUAUCUCUAAGUAUGCCUACUUUUGGUGGUCUGUAUACAUCAUUCUGUUUUAUUUUCCAGUAAUAUUGAGGUAUAGUUGACAUACAGCAUGACUUUAAGGUGUACAGCAUAAUGAUUUGACUUAUAUAGAGAAUCUCCAUUUCU
Neomonachus schauinslandi (Hawaiian monk seal) is the source of this 237-nucleotide long non-coding RNA. RefSeq lists it as uncharacterized. NCBI's taxonomy places the organism in Eukaryota, Metazoa, Chordata, Mammalia, Carnivora, Phocidae. The record is from RefSeq and is a predicted model, not a curated record. The transcript is spliced from 3 exons.